RNAcentral lists this ribosomal RNA (207 nucleotides) under uncultured bacterium. RNAcentral's name for it is "partial 16S ribosomal RNA". It matches the Rfam family "Bacterial small subunit ribosomal RNA", at positions 568 to 774 of the family's 1533-position model. The record is from RNAcentral.
AGCGUAGACGGCAAGGCAAGUUUGAUGUGAAAACCCAGAGCUUAACCCUGGGACUGCAUUGGAAACUGUCUGGCUCGAGUGCCGGAGAGGUAAGCGGAAUUCCUAGUGUAGCGGUGAAAUGCGUAGAUAUUAGGAAGAACACCAGUGGCGAAGGCGGCUUACUGGACGGUAACUGACGUUGAGGCUCGAAAGCGUGGGGAGCAAACA